This 253-nucleotide ribosomal RNA is filed under the name uncultured bacterium. Its description in RNAcentral is "partial 16S ribosomal RNA". It matches the Rfam family "Bacterial small subunit ribosomal RNA", at positions 524 to 776 of the family's 1533-position model. The record is from RNAcentral.
UACGGAGGGGGCUAGCGUUGUUCGGAAUUACUGGGCGUAAAGCGCACGUAGGCGGACCAGAAAGUCAGGGGUGAAAUCCCGGGGCUCAACCCCGGAACUGCCUUUGAACCUUCUGGUCUUGAGGUCGAGAGAGGUGAGUGGAAUUCCGAGUGUAGAGGUGAAAUUCGUAGAUAUUCGGAGGAACACCAGUGGCGAAGGCGGCUCACUGGCUCGAUACUGACGCUGAGGUGCGAAAGCGUGGGGAGCAAACAGG